This 208-nucleotide ribosomal RNA is filed under the name uncultured bacterium. Its description in RNAcentral is "partial 16S ribosomal RNA". It matches the Rfam family "Bacterial small subunit ribosomal RNA", at positions 568 to 775 of the family's 1533-position model. The record is from RNAcentral.
UGCGUAGGCGGCGCGGUAAGUCGGGUGUGAAAUCUCGGAGCUUAACUCCGAAACUGCAUUCGAUACUGCCGUGCUUGAGGACUGAGAGGAGACUGGAAUUUACGGUGUAGCGGUGAAAUGCGUAGAUAUCGUAAGGAAGACCAGUGGCGAAGGCGGGUCUCUGGACAGUUCCUGACGCUGAGGCACGAAGGCCAGGGGAGACGAAACG